GGUUGCGAUCAUACCAGCACUAAUGCACCGGAUCCCAACGGAACUCCGCAGUUAAGCGUGCUUGGGCGAGAGUAGUACUAGGAUGGGUGACCCCCUGGGAAGUCCUCGUGUUGCAACCC
Molecule: ribosomal RNA, 119 nt
Filed under: Helianthus annuus (common sunflower)
Lineage: Eukaryota; Viridiplantae; Streptophyta; Magnoliopsida; Asterales; Asteraceae
Source: RNAcentral